RNAcentral lists this ribosomal RNA (1344 nucleotides) under metagenome. RNAcentral's name for it is "bacterial LSU rRNA". It matches the Rfam family "Bacterial large subunit ribosomal RNA", at positions 1522 to 2866 of the family's 2925-position model. The record is from RNAcentral.
UAAUCUGUAUCUAAUAUGCAACAUAAUUAUCUUAGAAUUGAUUUACAGGGGAAGUCGGUGAUCCUAUGCUGCCAAGAAAAUCUUCUAGCGAGGUUCGAGCCGCCCGUACCCCAAACCGACUCAGGUGGUUAGGUAGAGAAUACCAAGGCGAUCGAGUGAAUCGUGGUUAAGGAAUUCGGCAAAAUACCCCCGUAACUUCGGGAGAAGGGGGGCCCAGAGGGUGACGGGGCUUGCUCCCCGAGCCUGAACGGCCGCAGAGACCAGGGAGAAGCGACUGUUUACUAAAACCACAGGUCCGUGCCAAGUCGCAAGACGAUGUAUACGGACUGACGCCUGCCCGGUGCUGGAACGUUAAGGGGACCGGUUAGCCUCACGGCGAAGCUGAGAACUUAAGCGCCAGUAAACGGCGGUGGUAACUAUAACCAUCCUAAGGUAGCGAAAUUCCUUGUCGGGUAAGUUCCGACCUGCACGAAUGGCGUAACGAUUUCUCCACUGUCUCAACCACGAACUCGGCGAAAUUGCACUACGAGUAAAGAUGCUCGUUACGCGCAGAAGGACGGAAAGACCCCGGGACCUUUACUACAGCUUGGUAUUGGUGUUCGGUACGGCUUGUGUAGGAUAGGUGGGAGACUGUGAAGCUGACACGCCAGUGUCGGUGGAGUCAACGUUGAAAUACCACUCUGGUCGUUCUGGAUAUCUAACCUAGGUCCGUGAUCCGGAUCAGGGACAGUGCCUGGUGGGUAGUUUAACUGGGGCGGUUGCCUCCUAAAAGGUAACGGAGGCGCCCAAAGGUUCCCUCAGCCUGGUUGGCAAUCAGGUUUUGAGUGUAAGUGCACAAGGGAGCUUGACUGUGAGACUGACAAGUCGAACAGGGACGAAAGUCGGGACUAGUGAUCCGGCGGUGGCUUGUGGAAGCGCCGUCGCUCAACGGAUAAAAGGUACCCCGGGGAUAACAGGCUGAUCUUGCCCAAGAGUCCAUAUCGACGGCAUGGUUUGGCACCUCGAUGUCGGCUCGUCGCAUCCUGGGGCUGGAGUAGGUCCCAAGGGUUGGGCUGUUCGCCCAUUAAAGCGGUACGCGAGCUGGGUUUAGAACGUCGUGAGACAGUUCGGUCCCUAUCCUCUGCGCGCGCAGGAAACUUGAGAAGGGCUGUCCCUAGUACGAGAGGACCGGGAUGGACGAACCUCUGGUGUGUCAGUUGUUCUGCCAAGAGCACCGCUGAUUAGCUACGUUCGGGAGUGAUAACCGCUGAAAGCAUCUAAGCGGGAAGCAUGCUUCAAGAUUAGGUUUCCAUGGGGUUUACCCCGAGAGGCUCCCAGCUAGACUACUGGGUUGAUAGGCCGGAU